Molecule: RNA transcript, 696 nt
Organism: Myotis davidii
Lineage: Eukaryota; Metazoa; Chordata; Mammalia; Chiroptera; Vespertilionidae
Gene name: ubiquitin-40S ribosomal protein S27a pseudogene
Exons: 3
Source: RefSeq, a predicted model, not a curated record
UUCAAUCCGCCAUCUGCAGUGGAGUCCCCACCAAGAUGCAGAUUUUCGUGAAAACCCUCCCGGGGAAGACCAUCACUCUCGAGGUUGAACCCUCAGAUAGGAUAGAAAAUGUAAAGGCCCAGAUCCAGGAUAAGGAAGGAAUUCCUCCUCACUGAUCUUUGCUGGCAAGCAACUGGAAGAUGGACAUACUUUGUCUGACUACAACAUUCAAAAGGAGUCCACUCUUCCUCUUGUGUUGAGACUUCAUGGUGGUGCUAAGAAAAGAUAGAAGAAGUCUUACACCACUCCCAAGGAGAACAAGCAUAAGAGAAAGAAGGUUAAGCUGGCUGUCCUGAAAUACCACGAAGUGGAUGAGAAUGGCAAAACCAGUCACCUUUUUCAGGAGUGCCCUCAGACGAAUGUGGUGCUGGAGUGUUUAUGGCCAGCCACUUUGACAGACAUUAUUGUGGCAAAUGUUUCAACAAACCAGAAGACGAGCAAUUCUCACGCUGGUUCCAGGCCAACGCCCAAGCUCUUCAGCGUGAGAGACCCUCCGGGUCUGGCUCUUCGCAGCCAUAUGCCCAUGUGGAAACUACCGCCUCAUCAGAGCUCGAUAUGAACUCCUUCGUGGUGGAGCGGCAGCCCUGCAUGCCCACGCACCCACAGAGGCCGCUGGUCCUGAAGACGGGCGUGCAGUUCACCGUGAAGCUGAGGUGA